GGAAAUAACACAAGAGGCAAAGAUCACUCGGGACCACCUUGUAUAUUGGCUACCACAGAACCCAACACAAGCAGUAAGUUAAAAUCAUGAAGCUCCUGACGUCAGAGGACAUGGCUCUGCCAUUUGUUAGGUAGGGAUCCUGUUAAAGGCUCAGCUUCCUCAUCUGGAAAUGGAAAUAUAGGCCUUGCCUGGUUUGCUGUAAUGGGUCGUGAUGAGGACCAAACUACAAAGAGUGGUACAGAUGUUAAUUACAAUGAUUUUUCCUAUGCCACCCAUGGAAACAAAAAUAGCAAGAUAGAGAAGGCUAAAUCCCAGUUUUUUUUGACUGCUAUUCAGCAAAGCCUAGGAGACUUUCAUGACACCUGGAGAGGCGGCCGUAGUGUAUGUGUAAGAGUACCGGUUCCAGAGUGGGGCUCCCCGAGCUCAGCCCCACCACUUACCAACAGCGGACCUUGGGCCAGAUGCUGAAGCCCUUUGUGCCUUGGUUUCCUGACCUAUUACUGUGGAAAUGAUGACAGUACCCUCCUCAUGGCAUCGUGAGAAUUAAAUUAGCUAAUUCAGGUGAAGCAUUUAGAAGAGGACCUCCUGACACUUAAUAACUGCUUGAUAUAAAUAAUAGCUUCUGCUACAGAGUGGCCAUGAAGUCUGGACAUGUAGAUAUUAUAUUAUCAUGCAUCAUAAGCCGUUCUUUCCCAAGUUACCUCUCUCAGAUUCCUGCAGAAAAGCCUGAGUGCCAGCCUCCAGCUCUGGAUAAGAUUCUCCAAGAGUGGUUCUCAAUCUUGCAGAAACUCAGAAUCUCCUAGGAGCUCAAAACAACACCACCAACAACAACAACACCUCUUCUCCAAGCCGCAGACUCAGGAAAUGUGAUUCAUUCAAUCUGCCUGGGGUGGUCUAGGCAUAGUACUUUCUUUACCUUCUAUCGCAUUAGCACUGCAAUGAAUGCUGCUGCACACGCUGUUGAGCUCGUGGACACUUUCCUGCUGGGUGAGGACCCGAACGUGAAAUUGCUGGGUCAUGGAUUCAAGUGCUACACAUAUUUUUGACCACAUUACUGUGACUCAGGAAGCCCAGGAACAGAAUUCUAGGCACCAGAACCAUACAUGUUACAGCCUCUGAGCUUUAUGGCCUCUGAGCCAUUUGUCCAGCCACAUCAUUUGCAGAUGAGAUCCUGAGACUCAGGCUGGAAAAGUGACCGGGGAAAAGUCACACAAGUCAGAGGCAGAGCUGGAGUUUCCUCAUUUCCAGGCCCGUAUAGAUCAAGACGGACGUUGGUCAAACACCUCCUAGUACUCACAUGAAGAAGCUCUCCUUUCUGCUGUAGGAAUGAUCACACACCAUUCCAAUCUGGAUACCAAAUGUCAUUGUUUAUUAAAUGUGUGCAGUGUGCCAGG
Homo sapiens (human) is the source of this 1394-nucleotide long non-coding RNA. Ensembl annotates it as long intergenic non-protein coding RNA 1968. The record is from Ensembl. Lineage: Eukaryota; Metazoa; Chordata; Mammalia; Primates; Hominidae.